ACGGAAGGCAGCAGUGGGGAAUAUUGCACAAUGGGGGAAACCCUGAUGCAGCGACGCCGCGUGAACGAUGAAGUAUUUCGGUAUGUAAAGUUCUAUCAGCAGGGAAGAUAAUGACGGUACCUGACUAAGAAGCACCGGCUAAAUACGUGCCAGCAGCCGCGGUAAUACGUAUGGUGCAAGCGUUAUCCGGAUUUACUGGGUGUAAAGGGUGCGUAGGUGGCAUGGCAAGUCUGAAGUGAAAUGCGGGGGCUCAACCCCUGAACUGCUUUGGAAACUGUCAAGCUAGAGUGCAGGAGAGGAAAGCGGAAUUCCUAGUGUAGCGGUGAAAUGCGUAGAUAUUAGGAGGAACACCAGUGGCGAAGGCGGCUUGCUGGACUGUAACUGACACUGAGGCACGAAAGCGUGGGGAGCAAACAGGAUUAGAUACCCUGGUA
This 434-nucleotide ribosomal RNA is filed under the name uncultured Lachnospiraceae bacterium. RNAcentral describes it as "bacterial SSU rRNA". It matches the Rfam family "Bacterial small subunit ribosomal RNA", at positions 341 to 792 of the family's 1533-position model. The record is from RNAcentral. Lineage: Bacteria; Bacillati; Bacillota; Clostridia; Lachnospirales; Lachnospiraceae.